UGAUACCGGCAUUCCCUGGUUCGAAUCCAGGUACCCCAGCCAUCGAAGAAACAAUCUGGCUACGUAGCUCAGUUGGU
This 77-nucleotide transfer RNA is filed under the name Escherichia coli K-12. RNAcentral describes it as "tRNA-Met". The record is from RNAcentral. Lineage: Bacteria; Pseudomonadati; Pseudomonadota; Gammaproteobacteria; Enterobacterales; Enterobacteriaceae.